Oreochromis aureus is the source of this 1312-nucleotide long non-coding RNA. The record is from Ensembl. Lineage: Eukaryota; Metazoa; Chordata; Actinopteri; Cichliformes; Cichlidae.
UACAGAGUGAACAAUGGCGGCCACCACUUCGUUUUAUAUGUCUUUUAUUCGUGUUUCUAGGUCACAAAAUAAGCUUUUAAGAUAUUUUCAGGCGAGAAUGUAGGUGUGUAAACUUCAAAUAUCUGCUUGUUUUAUCAAGACAUCCCAUAUUUAGCGACAGUGCUCUGACUACGUUGGUCCUGCCUGACAGCUAGCCGGCUACCUAGCUGGCUACCUAGCUAGCUGCCGCACUUGGCUGCAAAUGGAUAGCGAGGGGACUCUCUCUGUCGUUUCACCUCCCUGGUCUCUCGCAAAUGCUCGCAUAGAAUCGGAGUUACAGCUGGAUGUGGAAAAAAUAACUGAGUUGUUUGGUGGUGGAGCUACAACAGAGGGCAGCUACCCACCGGUGUGUGACAGAAAGGACAUGCCGCCAACGAGACAUAUGAGGCCGGGCAGGCGAUUGCUAACGCGGUGGUCAAUCAUGGAUCAGGGAAAGCGAAGGCAGGAGCGUGAGGUGAACUGAAUUUCAGGCGUUAACUACAGCAGACUUUUAUACCUCAACUCUUGAUUCAGCCAAGGUAAGUGCCCCCCCCCCCCCUUAUAUUUUCUAUGUAUGUGUUCAGCUGAUAUUUAGAAAAAAAUAGGUGUGUUUAGCGUUGGAUGUCAUUUUAUUCCAGAGCUGUUGUUUGUAAUUAAAACUUUUAAGAUUAGAUGGUACAGUGUUUUUACUCCCUUCCAAACAGUAAAGUUCCUCUUUGUUUCUCAGUAGGAAAUUUAAACCAGACAGUACAAGGCUACAUUUCAGUGUUACAAGCCAAUCAGUUUGCUAAUUGUUCUGUGAGAUUUGUUUGCAAAGUUUAAGGUGUUAAGUAGGACUGUGAACAUCUGGGUCUGCUUGCUGCUGGCAUUCUGCCACAGCCCCAGCAACAAGACCGCCUCCCAGCAACGAGACUGCCUGUCAGCCUUGCAAGAUGCCGAAAAAAAAUAAAAGAUCCCAGGCACAAAAGAAGCGCUGGAAACCACUUGACCUGGUCGAUCCUGCUGUCCCAGUGCUCUCUGGCCACAACCAAGAUGAGGCAGUCAGUAGUUUUCCAUCUGACCAGCAGACGGCACCAGCCGGGUUAUCUUUGGAAACACAGGAUAGACCCACCUCCUUAUGUUCCCCAGGUACCAAGCAGACAGCUAGCUUGUCCUUGGAAACGGAGAAUAGACCCACCUCCUUAUGUCCUCCAGGCAGCAAGAGUUCAGAAACUCGUCCACCAGCAAAACGAGUCUGGGCAACCGAUGAUUUCCACAUGGCAUCAAAUUCUCCACCUAAAAGGUAUGCCCACAA